CCUCUGCAUUCGGGCUUCAAAUUGGCCCAUCUAUAAUACUUCGGGCUGAAAGCCCAGCCCACUUUGCCCUUACCCAUCAUUCGAGCGAAAAUGGGAAGCCCUCUUUUUUUCGGUUACCUUCAAUUCUCCAUCUGUUUAGCGCGCCAUACGGAGAUAUUGUCGUCACUGCUUCACUCUAUGGUGCUGCUUCUCCAACUCUCACCUUCUCCACACGGCGAACGCUCGUCGUCGUCGUCGUCAUCGUCUUCUUCAUGGUCGAAAUCAACUCUUUGCAUGGCGCAUGGGAGCUCCGAUUACUUUUUGUCCUAGUGAAGAGGUAAAGUAAGUUUGCUGAAUUUGAAGCCAAAUUAUGAUUUAUGCUCGUAGUAUUUGCUCAAUUUCAGGUAAGCAAUCGGAUUCUCGAAAGGAACUCAUCGUGUUCUCAAAUAGGAUUUCCGGUCUAGAAGAAGCAAUGAGAAUCAGGACUUCCUUUGGUUGUUCGAUUGCUUGUAUUUGUGUGUGGAAGUUGAUUCAGAUGUCUUACCAGAGGUCUCCAGCGAGCAUCAAUUUCAUGAUUCUGAAGGCAUUGCUCGUGUGAGGGCUGCUUGUGAACUUGCAGCUCAUGUCUUGGGACUUUGCAGGGAAAUUGGUACGUCUGAAGAUGAAAUUACACACUACAUUUGGCAUGUAUGAUGUGAAAAUGCUGUAUUAGUGGAUUCAUUUGUGGCUGGUCUAAAUUUUUUUCGAAGAGAGGUGUACGUUGGUUGGGUUUUGCCUGUUAGGGGUAGCAUGUUAUUCACUGCAUUACAGUGUUGAAGUGUUCAACUUAAACCUAUGAGCUAGCAGAUGGAAAAGUCUAAACAACAUUUAAGGCCAUUCUGCAUUCCUUUCAGCUUGCUAGGUAUGUCAUAAUUUUGGGAGAAAAGUGAUUUGAGAUAGUGCUGUAAAUUGAUCUUAUUUUUUAUUUUAUACUGGAUUAUAACAAUUUAUUUGAAUCUUUUUGCUGAAGAGCUAAUUCUUACGAUAGCCUGACAAAUAGACAACUUUGACAACUGAUGGCAGCCCUGCCGCACAGUUUACACAUAUCAUUUUAAUUACCAAGUACCAACUGGUAUGGUGCGGAAAUUUUGGCAAAAUGUUGAAUAAUGUUAAUCACUUUCUGUUUUUGCCUCGAUAUUACUUUACAUGUUAUACAAUUCUGGUAAAGAUGCUAAUCCAUUUCCAUUCAAAUGGCUCUGUAAUGUUUAAACUAUUUAAUAUUGGCACUAUCAUGAUUUCAGAAGUACCAAUUGCUUAAUGCCUGGCCUAGGUGAACAGAGUUACAGAGUAUGUUACUAUUGUUGUCAUUAUAUUCCUAGGAUUGGGAAAGCAAUUUGAAGAAACAUGGCUUCCAUUUAUGGCUAAACAAAUGCUGAUUGACCUUACAGAAAUUUUAUUAUGAAUUUGCAUGUGACUAUCUGAACACAUCCUGUUGUUAUGUUCAGUUGGGUGGCUGAAUUACAAAUUUAACUGCGAAAUAUCGAAACAGUUGAUUCUAUUUCCUUUUAAAUUACUUGAGCAGCCUAGCCUAGACUACUCUUGCGAAAAAUGGUCCAGAAACUUGGGAUUCAGCAUCAUACACAACUGGAUAUGAUUUAGCAUGCUUUGAUGUGUGAGCAAGGGCAGACUUAAAGCUCAUGCGCCAUCUUUGGAUUGGCCAAGAUGUGCUACAUGAUGCCACUAAGGCUGUGUUUGGAAUUGUGAUUGAGAGGUCAAAAAACUUGUUUGAAACUACUUUUAAAAUCACUCUUUUAAAUGUUAAAAAAAAACAAUUUGAAAAAGUAAUUUUAUUAUUUUGAAAUUUUUAUAAUUAAAAUGUCAAAUUUAAAUUAAAAUUUACGAUCUUCAAUAAAUAUUUUUAAGAUAAUGCAUUUUGUAAUAGCAAUUCAAACAGUAAUACUAAAUAAAUUUUUAAUGUUAUUCUCUGUUACUUUUGAUUAGGUGAUUUUCAUUCCUUCGAUUUUACUUUUUUUUUUUUUUCACUUAAAUAGGAAGAAAAUAUUUUCCCCAAGACUAUUUAAGAAUAGGAUUCUGUAGCAUUUUUCCCCCUAAUCAGCCCUAUUGUGCACGGAUAUGUGAUGUCUCCCAUUUAUGCAUUCAGAUUCAUUCAUAAUUUUCUGCACAUGUUAAUUUGUAUGUUGAAAGAUGUUUUAGGCAUUAAGAUUUAGCUCAAUAAUACGAGAAUUAUCUCUAAACUUGUAAGGUGUCGAAUUUAAAUUUCAAUCACAACUAAUUAUAAAUAAAUAAAUAUUUAGUCAUCGAUUCAAUGUGUUUAACCUGUCUGUUUUUCUGUUUUCUAUAUAUGUAAUUGGAGGUUACAGUGAUAAUUUCACUGGAUGCAACAUCUCGUAUCUGAAGUUUUGAUCUGCUCAUCAUUGAACUGAAGAUUCUCUUACAGACGAGUCAUCUUUCAACUUUCAUGCAAGGAUCUCUAAUUGCUGAUGGUCAUGCCCUUGCGUGUAACUGUUACAAUUCAAGAGUUUAGAGAAGCUAUUAUUUUGAAGAGCCGGGUUGACUCAAUUAUCCAACGAUUUUUCUCCCCCUAUUAAAUUAAUUUGUUUUGCAUAUUAGAAAUUAAGAAGCACAUCAAGCUGAGAGACAAUAUAGGUCAUAUUAAUAUUAAUAUUGUGCCACUUGCUUUAUCCACAUGGUCCGCAUAGCUUAGUACAACUAUUUUAAUUAUGUCAGUUCCGUUCUUAAUUUCUCAUUCGGCCAUGAUGAGACAAUAAUGGGGUUUUCAAGUUUACGAUCAUUGGCUAACGUACUUGUCUUGAUGGAGGCUUCUUAUUAAAUCUUGCAUGUGAAUCAGCUUCUAAUUAUUUUGAACAAUA
Molecule: long non-coding RNA, 2849 nt
Organism: Hevea brasiliensis (rubber tree)
Lineage: Eukaryota; Viridiplantae; Streptophyta; Magnoliopsida; Malpighiales; Euphorbiaceae
Exons: 2
Source: RefSeq, a predicted model, not a curated record